This 253-nucleotide ribosomal RNA is filed under the name uncultured bacterium. RNAcentral's name for it is "partial 16S ribosomal RNA". It matches the Rfam family "Bacterial small subunit ribosomal RNA", at positions 524 to 776 of the family's 1533-position model. The record is from RNAcentral.
UACGAAGGGGGCUAGCGUUGUUCGGAAUUACUGGGCGUAAAGCGUGCGCAGGCGGUUCUAUAAGACAGAUGUGAAAUCCCCGGGCUCAACCUGGGAACUGCAUUUGUGACUGUAGAGCUGGAGUACGGCAGAGGGGGAUGGAAUUCCGCGUGUAGCAGUGAAAUGCGUAGAUAUGCGGAGGAACACCGAUGGCGUAGGCAGUCUACUGGCUCAUUGCUGACACUAAGGCACGAAAGCGUGGGGAGCGAACGGG